GCUCCAAUGGCCUAGUGGUUAGAGCGGCCGCCUCGGAUGAGGGAGGUUGUGGAUUCGAAUCCCGGUUGAAUCA
Non-coding RNA from Potamilus streckersoni, 73 nucleotides. The record is from the annotation of a GenBank genome assembly. Lineage: Eukaryota; Metazoa; Mollusca; Bivalvia; Unionida; Unionidae.